This 466-nucleotide ribosomal RNA is filed under the name uncultured bacterium. RNAcentral describes it as "partial 16S ribosomal RNA". It matches the Rfam family "Bacterial small subunit ribosomal RNA", at positions 28 to 507 of the family's 1533-position model. The record is from RNAcentral.
GACGAACGCUGGCGGCGUGCUUAACACAUGCAAGUCGAACGGAAAGGCCCUGCUUGCAGGGUACUCGAGUGGCGAACGGGUGAGUAACACGUGGGUGAUCUGCCCUGCACUUCGGGAUAAGCCUGGGAAACUGGGUCUAAUACCGGAUAGGAGCCAUUUUUAGUGUGAUGGUUGGAAAGUUUUUUCGGUGUAGGAUGAGCUCGCGGCCUAUCAGCUUGUUGGUGGGGUAAUGGCCUACCAAGGCGGCGACGGGUAGCCGGCCUGAGAGGGUGGACGGCCAACAGGGGGAAGGGGAGACGGCCGAGCCCCCGACGGGGGGAAGAGGGGGGAAAUUUUGAAAAAGGGGGAACGGCUGGGGGCAGCGGGCCCGGGGGGGGGAUGACGGUCUUGGGGUUUAAAACCCUUUCCGCGGGGGACAAAGCUUUUUGUGAGGGUACAUAAAAAAGAAGCCCCGGCAAACUACGUG